GAGAAUAUAUUUUUAAGCUCAUUAUUUAUUUUCACCUAUGCUGUGCUUAUUGGCUUAUAAAUCAUAAAAAAAUUGAAUUUGUUUUUUUUGUUUGUUGGAUUGCUGUUCUGUGCUUACAGAAUAUAUUUUAUGCUGAGUAGUGCUAUAUUGGCAAAAAGGCUCACAAAUUUGUUUGAAGGAUGAAUUGGAGAAUGCUGACUAUUACAUGGGAGAGUAGUGAUUGAAUGCAAGUGGAACUUUC
This 241-nucleotide unclassified non-coding RNA is filed under the name Hevea brasiliensis (rubber tree). Lineage: Eukaryota; Viridiplantae; Streptophyta; Magnoliopsida; Malpighiales; Euphorbiaceae. The record is from RNAcentral.